Molecule: unclassified non-coding RNA, 307 nt
Filed under: plant metagenome
Description: partial contains 5.8S ribosomal RNA, internal transcribed spacer 2, and large subunit ribosomal RNA
Rfam family: 5.8S ribosomal RNA (bases 1-105)
Source: RNAcentral
GAAAUGCGAUAAGUAGUGUGAAUUGCAGAAUUCAGUGAAUCAUCGAAUCUUUGAACGCACAUUGCGCCCUUUGGUAUUCCUUAGGGCAUGCCUGUUCGAGCGUCAUUUCAAAAUUCAAGCUCAGCUUGGUGAUGGGCGCCUGUCCCGCCUCCGUGCGUGGACUCGCCUCAAAAGCAGUUGGCAGCUCCCCACUCGGCUCUAAACGCAGCAGAUUUGCGUGGCGCGGCGAGAGGAGGGGCUUACCAGUAAGCAAAACCACCCCAGAUUGACCUCGGAUCAGGUAGGGAUACCCGCUGAACUUAAGCAU